This 1483-nucleotide ribosomal RNA is filed under the name uncultured bacterium. Its description in RNAcentral is "bacterial SSU rRNA". It matches the Rfam family "Bacterial small subunit ribosomal RNA". The record is from RNAcentral.
GAUGAACGCUAGCUACAGGCUUAACACAUGCAAGUCGAGGGGAAACGGGAAGAUAGCUUGCUAUUUUUGCCGUCGACCGGCGCACGGGUGAGUAACGCGUAUCCAACCUGCCACCUAGUGGAGGAUAGCCUUUCGAAAGAAAGGAUAAUACUCCAUGUACUCCUUUAAGGGCAUCUGCGAAGGAGGAAAGAUUAAUCGCUGGGUGAUGGGGAUGCGUCUGAUUAGGCAGUUGGCGGGGUAACGGCCCACCAAACCGACGAUCAGUAGGGGUUCUGAGAGGAAGGUCCCCCACAUUGGAACUGAGACACGGUCCAAACCCCUACGGGAGGCAGCAGUGAGGAAUAUUGGUCAAUGGACGGAAGUCUGAACCAGCCAAGUAGCGUGCAGGAUGACGGCCCUAUGGGUUGUAACCUGCUUUUAUGCGGGGGUAAAGUGAGUGACGUGUCAUUCAUUGCAAGUACCGCAAGAAUAAGGACCGGCUAAUUCCGUGCCAGCAGCCGCGGUAAUACGGAAGGUCCUGGUGUUAUCCGGAUUUAUUGGGUUUAAAGGGAGCGUAGGCCGUCAGGCAAGCGUGUUGUGAAAUGUCGUGGCUCAACCAUGGACUUGCAGCGCGAACUGCCCGACUUGAGUGCGCGGAAAGCAAGCGGAAUUGGGGGUGUAACGGUGAAAUGCUUAGAUAUCACGAAGAACCCCAAUUGCGAAGGCAGCCUGCUGUAACGCUACUGACCCCGAAACUCGAAAGUGCGGGGAUUCGAACAGGAUAAAAUACCCUGGUAAUCCGCACGGUAAACCAUGGAUGCCCGCUGUUCAGUUUAACGACCGAGCGGCUAAGUGAAAACGUUAAGCAUCCCACCUGGGGAGUACGCCGGCAACGGUGAAACUCAAAGGAAUUGACGGGGGCCCGCACAAGCGGAGGAACAUGUGGUUUAAUUCGAUGAUACGCGAGGAACCUUACCCGGGCUUGAAUUGCAGAGGAAAGAUCCAGAGAUGGUGAUGCCCUUCGGGGUCUCUGUGAAGGUGCUGCAUGGUUGUCGUCAGCUCGUGCCGUGAGGUGUCGGCUUAAGUGCCAUAACGAGCGCAACCCCUAUUUUCAGUUGCCAUCAGGUUAAGCUGGGCACUCUGGAGAGACUGCCGCCGCAAGGUGAGAGGAAGGCGGGGAUGACGUCAAAUCAGCACGGCCCUUACGUCCGGGGCUACACACGUGUUACAAUGGCCGGUACAACGAGAAGGCUGCCCGCAAGGUCAGUCAAAUCCUGAAAACCGGUCUCAGUUCGGACUGGAGUCUGCAACCCGACUCCACGAAGCUGGAUUCGCUAGUAAUCGCGCAUCAGCCAUGGCGCGGUGAAUACGUUCCCGGGCCUUGUACACACCGCCCGUCAAGCCAUGAAAGCCGGGGGUGCCUGAAGUCCGUGACCGCAAGGGUCGGCCUAGGGCAAAACCGGUAAUUGGGGCUAAGUCGUAACAAGGUAGCCGUACCGGAAGG